RNAcentral lists this long non-coding RNA (1424 nucleotides) under Calidris pygmaea (Spoon-billed sandpiper). Its description in RNAcentral is "lncRNA (ENSCPGG00000003210.1)". The record is from RNAcentral. Lineage: Eukaryota; Metazoa; Chordata; Aves; Charadriiformes; Scolopacidae.
CAUUACUUGCUGCACAGAAUGUAAUAGUCAAAAAUCUCAAUACCACACUUGAUUUGAAGUUGAAUAUAUAAAAGCUGAGUUUCUAGGUCAGUGCAUGAGAACUUUGCUGGGUAGUGGGUAUGGCCAAAAUUCAAAGAUAUGUUGAGUUUUCUUAAGAAAAUGUUGGGGUUUUUUUUUAUAGGAGGUUCUAUUUGGUUACUAUGGAGUAAUGUUCUUCAGUGUAUACUAUUUCUCUGAAGCAUUACAGGUUUAACUUGAGUUAAUGGAAUUCACUGGUAACUUCCAUGAUGCUAAAAUCCCUUUCUGUUUGUCUAGGUUUUACUCUUUACCAGAGACGGGAGGUGCUAGAUUUUUCUUCUUCUCCAAAGAUGAUGAACGACUAAGAGAGGGCCCUAGGUUAUUUUGUAGAUCAGUAGAGCUCAGUGAAGAAAAAGAUGGUUGGGAAGACAGACGUAGAUUAUUGCUUGAGGUGAGUAUUUUAACAUCUGUUCCUUGGUAACUGUGGCUGAAAGCUCAGCGUGAGGAGGGAACAUGCUGAUUAUUUGCUUAAUUUGCAUUAAAAAUCCAUCCAGGACCUUUAAGAAGGGCUUGAAACUUUUAAUUAUCAGGGAACUAAAAAACUUUAAUGUACAAGUGUAUAUAACAUCAUGUUCUGAUGUCCAGUCAGGUAAAUUACUUAAUCUCUGUAUUGUACAGAACCAGUUACUUUACUGCAUGUAAAAAAAAAAUUCAGAAUUCAGAAACUUAUCAUUAUAUUAUGUUCAAAUUUAAAUAUUUUCAGGAAUGCCGGAAGAAGCAUAAAGAUGCAAGAAGGAAAGUGAAAGCAAAACAAUGAAUCUUUCUUACCUUACCGGUCAGAAGUACUCCGUGUUUCUUCUUUGAAGAAGAUGCAGAAAAAAAUCCUCUGAAAAUUCCAGUCUUUCAAAGACCUAAUAGGAAAUAGUACUGGAAAAGACUGUUAAACUUUUUUGAAAGAGGUGCGUGUUUAUUGUGUCAAUUCAGUGUUUAUGCCAAGGCUUGAUGGUUUUUGUCUACAUGGUUUUAAUGUGACUUGCUCCUUUGCAAGAUUUUGGAGAAUUCGAUCAUGUUACAGAGACAACACAGGGUUAUUUCACUGUGUUCUCAGGCCCCAGUGCUGAAGGGGGUUGAGAAAGAGCAGUCUCUGUGAAAGAGUAAAUCUGUGUCUGUAAGACAUAACCUGUGUCAUGCCAAACGUAAGGGACAUCCUUUUUGAGAUGCCUUUGCAGAUAUUUGGAAUGCAUUAUUUCCAGAGUAACACUUGACCAGAAGUUUAUGAAGAUAAAUACAUGACAGGGAAGAGUUAUACCGAUCUCCCCAUUUCAUAGCUUCGAAGAGCUGAUUUUCCUACUUAAUUGAGUGCAUACAAUAAUAAAUAUUAAGGACUAAUGUUGCUGGUGUUGAAU